RNAcentral lists this ribosomal RNA (115 nucleotides) under Danio rerio (zebrafish). The record is from RNAcentral. Lineage: Eukaryota; Metazoa; Chordata; Actinopteri; Cypriniformes; Danionidae.
GCUGGCAGCUAGCUCUCUGCAACUCUCACAUGGUCGCCUACUGAAGCUAAGCAGGGCUGCGCCUGGUCAGUACCUGGAUGGGAGACCACAUGGGAAAGCUAGGUUGCUGCCGGAA